Long non-coding RNA from Zalophus californianus (California sea lion), 485 nucleotides. RefSeq lists it as uncharacterized. The record is from RefSeq and is a predicted model, not a curated record. The transcript is spliced from 3 exons. Lineage: Eukaryota; Metazoa; Chordata; Mammalia; Carnivora; Otariidae.
CUGAAGGGCCUGGGAGGGGUUGGGCAUGGGUCUAGCUGUGGCUGCCCCACUCUUGGAGUGGGUAGGAAUCCCAGAGCCUGGAAACAGGCCUCUUCCCCAACCUCAUCAGCCUGAGACGGGCGAGGGGCAGAGGGAAAGUGCAGACUUGGGAAAGCGGACUGAGAUUAUCCCUGAGCUCUGGAAAAUGAAGUCAUCCAGUUGGGGGAAGUCCCGAGGAAUGCUGGCCGGGUCACUUGGAACGGAGCCCAUCAUUGGUCUGAAACUCCUUUUGCACACCUAGGAGUCCAGAUGCUUCCCUGAGCCAUCUUUAAAUUCCAGGUGGAAAGAGAGAAGACAGCUGCUCCCGCUUCACCUCGUUUCCAUCCGGCAACAUGAAUCAGAACUUCAUUCCUGGGGCGCCUGGGUGGCUCAGCUGGUUAAGCCUCUGCCUUCGGCUCAGGUCAUAAGCCCGGGGUCCUGGGAUCGAGCCCCGCAUCGGGCUCCCU